This is a non-coding RNA of Doryrhamphus excisus (bluestripe pipefish), 2021 nucleotides long. The record is from RefSeq and is a predicted model, not a curated record. Lineage: Eukaryota; Metazoa; Chordata; Actinopteri; Syngnathiformes; Syngnathidae.
ACGCGAAGCGAGCGCGCUGAUUUUAUUAGUUAAUGCUGCCCCGACUGCGCGUUUAACACCACCAUUCCCCACGUCGCACUAGUGCCAACAAAUAUGAUUUACGUGUUUAUUCGUCACUUGAGUGGUUUCCAUGCUGUAUAUAUUUGUUUCCACACGCGAGGGAAGCUAGCUAACUAGCAUGCUAGCCUAGCCAGGCGGUUAGUGUCUCUGCACACUAUUUGUGGUCGUUUUAAAAAGUGUAUCCUCUGUGUUUGUUUUUUUGCAACUAGUGGUAGUCUAGACUCCAGUUAAGUCGGAUUCAAACAGACCCAGUGCUGCCCAAUUUCCCCCCGACGUGCUUUGUUUUGCUUGUCUCUGUAUCAUAGCAUACUUUCGGGAAGUUACUAGCCUGCCGUCGCGCUCGUGAGGCCACCCCCUGCUUCCUAUUGGAAGGCAGGCCGUGUUUGUGUGCUCGUCCUGCCCAAAAUAUUUGUUACCAGGCAACGGUUAGGCAUGUCCCACUUCGGAGUGUUUUUUUGUUUACACCCCUUCUGGCUCUAACAAUAUUACGUAACCCCACAAGGCUUCCCUCUUUCACCCCACCGCUGUGCAAGAAAUAUGAUCGCCCUCUGUCAUCAGCCAACCAAAAUGGCCCUGUUUACCCCUGCUUCCACUUUGGCCAGAUACUCGCCGAGCAAUUCCGCCAGCUCUCCAGGAUCCUUCAGUAAGGACAGUUAAACCGUCAAAAGAUCCAUGCUGACUGCACAAGGACGAUUCCCAUGGCCUGUCUCAGCGUGAAUGGUCGUGGGGGGUGCUGGAGCCUAUCCCAGCUGUCUUCGGGCCAGAGGCGGGGUACACCCUGGACUUGUGGCCAGCCAAUCACAGGGCACAUAUAGACAAACAACCAUUCACACUCACAUAAGAUAAAAUAAAUAAUGUCAAAGAGGUAUUCAUUGAUUAUAUCUGAUGUCGCCCAAAGUCACCUGACAUAGGCUCCAGCAUACUUUCCUUAUUUAUAAAGCAAAUAUUUUCGAACUAUGAGCAUAGAAAACCAAUUUACAACCUUCUAAAUAUGUUUUUUUUAACAUUAAUAGAGCUUACAAGACAUUAAAUAACACCCCUAUUGUACUUUCACACGCAUAUUACCCAAUAUAGGAGACACAAUGAGAGAAAAUCGGUAAUUGAAAACAUGUGUGUGUUGCAGUACAUGUGUUCUGGGAGGGAGGAGAACAGGAAGUGAAGUUGGGGAUUCAGAGUUGAGUCAGGGUAUACUCUGGCCUGGUCGCUAGUCAAUUGCAGGGCACAUUUAGACAACACAUUUCCUUUAUGGACAUGCAGAGUUGAUUGUGUGCAUGUUCCAGAUGAAUUAAACCAUUAACAUUCAUACCCAAGUACAAUUUCGAGUCGCCAAUUAACCUAACAUGCAUUUUUUGGAAGUUGGGAGGUAGCUGGAGUAUCCAGAGAAAAUACAGAAAUGCCCAAAUUGAGAUUCAAACCCAGAUCAUCCCCAUCUACGGACUGUGUGGCCAACAUGGUGAACACCAGGCUACCAUGUGAUUGUUAGUCUCAAGCGCACACACACACACACACACACACACACACCUUUAAAUAUCCUAGCUAUGACGACUGCAAUCGUGCUGCUCAUCAAAUUUAUGCGUGAGCAAGCCGAGUCUAAAUUUGCCGAGAAGAAGCCAACUUACGCAAUCCUGCCUGCUUAGCCCAGCCCACCAGACCACACCACCACCACCACCACCACCACCACCACCAGCAGCUGCUGGCUUUACAAAGGCUUAUAACCCUCUCACUUUCCAACCAUCAGAUGCCGCCCCCACACAAUAUACUCUACAACUCGGGCGCUAUUCUUGUGGCAGCGACACCCCACCCCCCCGACACAAAAAUACCAGCACCACCUUCCCUGAACAGACGCCAAUCUCCCCGUCAAAGCAUCAUUACAUCCCACAGGACAGCUUGGGAAGUGGAGGGGUGGGGGGCAUCAUCAAAGUGCAAAAGGAGUAGGUGGUGGGGAGAGGAAAUAAAGAGUG